GGUGGCUCAGUGGUAGAGUGCUUGCUUUGCGUGCAUGGGGCCCUGGGUUCAAUUCCUCAGCACCA
This 65-nucleotide transfer RNA is filed under the name Dipodomys ordii (Ord's kangaroo rat). It matches the Rfam family "tRNA". Rfam says of the family: Transfer RNA (tRNA) molecules are approximately 80 nucleotides in length. Their secondary structure includes four short double-helical elements and three loops (D, anti-codon, and T loops). Further hydrogen bonds mediate the characteristic L-shaped molecular structure. tRNAs have two regions of fundamental functional importance: the anti-codon, which is responsible for specific mRNA codon recognition, and the 3' end, to which the tRNAs corresponding amino acid is attached (by aminoacyl-tRNA synthetases). tRNAs cope with the degeneracy of the genetic code in two manners: having more than one tRNA (with a specific anti-codon) for a particular amino acid; and 'wobble' base-pairing, i.e. permitting non-standard base-pairing at the 3rd anti-codon position. Lineage: Eukaryota; Metazoa; Chordata; Mammalia; Rodentia; Heteromyidae. The record is from Rfam by way of RNAcentral.